GGGCGCGUAGCUCAGUUGGUUAGAGUGCUGCUUUCACACGGCAGAGGUCCGCAGUUCGAAUCUGCGCGCGCCCACCA
This 77-nucleotide transfer RNA is filed under the name Pseudomonadales bacterium. RNAcentral describes it as "tRNA-Val". It matches the Rfam family "tRNA". From Rfam's summary of the family: Transfer RNA (tRNA) molecules are approximately 80 nucleotides in length. The record is from RNAcentral. Lineage: Bacteria; Pseudomonadati; Pseudomonadota; Gammaproteobacteria; Pseudomonadales. RNAcentral also lists the same sequence under 11 other names.